Molecule: ribosomal RNA, 253 nt
Filed under: uncultured bacterium
Lineage: Bacteria
Description: partial 16S ribosomal RNA
Rfam family: Bacterial small subunit ribosomal RNA
Source: RNAcentral
UACGUAGGGUGCAAGCGUUAAUCGGAAUUACUGGGCGUAAAGCGUGCGCAGGCGGUUUUGUAAGUCUGACGUGAAAUCCCCGGGCUUAACCUGGGAACUGCAUUUGUGACUGCAUCGCUGGAGUGCGGCAGAGGGGGAUGGAAUUCCGCGUGUAGCAGUGAAAUGCGUAGAUAUGCGGAGGAACACCGAUGGCGAAGGCAAUCCCCUGGGCCUGCACUGACGCUCAUGCACGAAAGCGUGGGGAGCGAACAGG